Molecule: ribosomal RNA, 100 nt
Filed under: Sphingobacterium haloxyli
Lineage: Bacteria; Pseudomonadati; Bacteroidota; Sphingobacteriia; Sphingobacteriales; Sphingobacteriaceae
Source: RNAcentral
AUCGGCGGUGUCUACCUCUUCCCAUUCCGAACAGAGCAGUCAAGCCCGCCAGAGCCGAUGGUACUGCCGUAAAAGGUGGGAGAGUAGGUCGGUGCCGAUU